UAAGCCAGGCUCCGGGUGGCACGCUGGUAAUCUCAGUACUGGAGACCAGGGGAGGACGAUGUUCAAUACCUUCCUGAACUCCAUACCACAAGACUCAUUGGACCAGGCCUACUAAUACCCCUAUGAGAGGAAGGUGCAUAUUCAGGAGCAAGUUGACCAGAAGGAGGACUCUUCCAUUACUGAAGCUGCCUAUAGUGGUCCAAGGAACUCCUCGGGGUGCAGGGUGCAGGUUCUUUGUGAAUCACCCAUUCUGCAGGUGAGGUUUUUAAUUUGUAUAGUUGCCCAUAAACUGCCCAAGGGACUUCCUGGUGAUGUAACUGCCUUUGAGUCACCCAUGUACCUGUAAGUGGCCUCAAUAAACUCAAUGGUUCACUAAGCUGAA
Molecule: long non-coding RNA, 382 nt
Organism: Apodemus sylvaticus (European woodmouse)
Lineage: Eukaryota; Metazoa; Chordata; Mammalia; Rodentia; Muridae
Exons: 2
Source: RefSeq, a predicted model, not a curated record